UAGGGAAUCUUCGGCAAUGGACGGAAGUCUGACCGAGCAACGCCGCGUGAGUGAAGAAGGUUUUCGGAUCGUAAAGCUCUGUUGUAAGAGAAGAACGAGUGUGAGAGUGGAAAGUUCACACUGUGACGGUAUCUUACCAGAAAGGGACGGCUAACUACGUGCCAGCAGCCGCGGUAAUACGUAGGUCCCGAGCGUUGUCCGGAUUUAUUGGGCGUAAAGCGAGCGCAGGCGGUUAGAUAAGUCUGAAGUUAAAGGCUGUGGCUUAACCAUAGUAGGCUUUGGAAACUGUUUAACUUGAGUGCAAGAGGGGAGAGUGGAAUUCCAUGUGUAGCGGUGAAAUGCGUAGAUAUAUGGAGGAACCCCGGCGGCGAAAGCGGCUCUCUGGCUUGUAACUGACGCUGAGGCUCGAAAGCGUGGGGAGCAAACAGGAUUAGAUACCCUGGUAGUCCACGCUGUAAACGAUGAGUGCUAGGUGUUAGACCCUUUCCGGGGUUUAGUGCCGUAGCUAACGCAUUAAGCACUCCGCCUGGGGAGUACGACCGCAAGGUUG
This 550-nucleotide ribosomal RNA is filed under the name uncultured bacterium. RNAcentral's name for it is "bacterial SSU rRNA". It matches the Rfam family "Bacterial small subunit ribosomal RNA", at positions 355 to 896 of the family's 1533-position model. The record is from RNAcentral.